UAGGGAAUCUUCCGCAAUGGGCGAAAGCCUGACGGAGCAACGCCGCGUGAGUGAUGAAGGUCUUCGGAUCGUAAAACUCUGUUAUUAGGGAAGAACAUAUGUGUAAGUAACUGUGCACAUCUUGACGGUACCUAAUCAGAAAGCCACGGCUAACUACGUGCCAGCAGCCGCGGUAAUACGUAGGUGGCAAGCGUUAUCCGGAAUUAUUGGGCGUAAAGCGCGCGUAGGCGGUUUUUUAAGUCUGAUGUGAAAGCCCACGGCUCAACCGUGGAGGGUCAUUGGAAACUGGAAAACUUGAGUGCAGAAGAGGAAAGUGGAAUUCCAUGUGUAGCGGUGAAAUGCGCAGAGAUAUGGAGGAACACCAGUGGCGAAGGCGACUUUCUGGUCUGUAACUGACGCUGAUGUGCGAAAGCGUGGGGAUCAAACAGGAUUAGAUACCCUGGUAGUCCACGCCGUAAACGAUGGGUGCUAAGUGUUAGGGGGUUUCCGCCCCUUAGUGCUGCAGCUAACGCAUUAAGCACUCCGCCUGGGGAGUACGACCCCAAGGUUG
RNAcentral lists this ribosomal RNA (550 nucleotides) under uncultured bacterium. Its description in RNAcentral is "bacterial SSU rRNA". It matches the Rfam family "Bacterial small subunit ribosomal RNA", at positions 355 to 896 of the family's 1533-position model. The record is from RNAcentral.